GAAUCGGGAUUUUUAAAUGAAGUGGGUUUGAAUUCUCUUGACUGUUUUGUAAAAUCGAGUUACGUCUGUGAUUGAAAGAUUAAAGGGGUGUCUAUAGGAUUGAGUAUGCGGAGUGAAUGAAAUUUAUUGGAUUAAUCUAACAGGACAGUCAGUGGAUACAAGAUCGUAAGUACAAAGAGGUAUUGAAGAUUAACAGUUUGGAUUGUUCGGGGUUCUCUGUAACGUC
Molecule: long non-coding RNA, 226 nt
Filed under: Physcomitrium patens
Lineage: Eukaryota; Viridiplantae; Streptophyta; Bryopsida; Funariales; Funariaceae
Description: long non-coding RNA (PPAT_LNC002336)
Source: RNAcentral